GUUUCUAACAAAAUACUGUGACCUUUUUAAACAAAAUCAAUUUGUUCACAUUUAUUUUUGUGGUGGCCAUAUUAUCCUCCCUAUUUUACUUCGGCCCAUUAUGCAGUAUCGUUACAUUUUUAUAAAUAAUGUAUAAUAUAAUAAAUAUUUUAUAACUUUGAAUUAAAAAUCUAAUGAGCAACACCUUGAUGAAUAUAAUUGUAAAAUUUCUGCUCAAAACAUUGAUUAUUAACAAAGUUAUUAAAUAAAAUAUAAAUGGGUGGCCAUAAUUACCAUCUUCUCUUUUAUAUAUAUUUACCCUCGGGGUACAUAUAGAUUAGCGUGACCUACACCUUCACUUUGAUCAAAAAUAUCUUUUAAGUAUUUUUGAAAUUGGCGGGUUUGAGGUCCUCUAGAUAGUUUGAAGUCCUGUAAAAUUGAACGCAGAGUUGUUAGAUGUAACAGUGCUCAUAUGGUACUUUGUUAUGGUUAACGUAUGGUUAUGCACGUCUAUACGAGCACCAGCUUCUGUUUCACGGUUGUUUCAGUAUCCUGACGGGAAAAAUAUUAUAACAGAUAAGGAGUCGGAUUGUGAAUAAAUGAAUCGUUUGCUGAAUGUGAACUAAUUAUUAUGUCAUUGGCUUAAAAUGCUUGGACUUAGGAUAUUGAGCCUUGGAGUUUCUUUUCUUGCUCUUAGAAUUGGAGACGACAACUGAUGAUUUCCUUGUGUUUAUUCUACUAAUAUUUCUCACCUCUCUGCAAGCACUCAGCGCAGAGUGGGAGUGAAACCAAGCAAUUCUGGAGAUCAGGAGAUCACCACGCGCUAUUCACCUAGUAGACUAAAGCCCCGAACAGUCUACUAACGUGGAAUUCCAGUGUAAUUCUAAAUAUCAAUAUAAUUGAGAAUUUUAAGAUAUACAGAUGUAGACAAAAUCAUUCAACGGAAAUCUUGUUUGCUACAAUAUUAUUCGAUAAAAAGGUUCACUACACUGAAAAAAAAAA
Long non-coding RNA from Monomorium pharaonis (pharaoh ant), 981 nucleotides. RefSeq lists it as uncharacterized. The record is from RefSeq and is a predicted model, not a curated record. Lineage: Eukaryota; Metazoa; Arthropoda; Insecta; Hymenoptera; Formicidae. The transcript has 2 exons.